This is a long non-coding RNA of Anguilla rostrata (American eel), 205 nucleotides long. RefSeq lists it as uncharacterized. The record is from RefSeq and is a predicted model, not a curated record. NCBI's taxonomy places the organism in Eukaryota, Metazoa, Chordata, Actinopteri, Anguilliformes, Anguillidae. The transcript has 2 exons.
CAACGGGCUGUGUGCUGUAUAGCAUCCUUCAUUGGCUGGGUAGCUGUGUGGUUGUACAUGUGGUUGCCUUCGUUUGCCUAUGAUUCAGCUUCACUGGAAAUCUUCCUCCGGCACUUUUGUGUUCAUUAUGAAGGUCUUGUUUCGGAGAAGGUUCCAGGCACCGUAUGAUAAUGAAUUCUAACAAUAACUAUUCUAAUAAGGAAAA